GCUGGCCUAGCUCAGUUGGUAGAGCAUCGGUUUUGUAAACCGACGGUCGUAGGUUCAAAUCCUAUGGCCAGCUCCA
RNAcentral lists this transfer RNA (76 nucleotides) under Bacteriovoracaceae bacterium. Its description in RNAcentral is "tRNA-Thr". It matches the Rfam family "tRNA". From Rfam's summary of the family: Transfer RNA (tRNA) molecules are approximately 80 nucleotides in length. The record is from RNAcentral. Lineage: Bacteria; Pseudomonadati; Bdellovibrionota; Bacteriovoracia; Bacteriovoracales; Bacteriovoracaceae.